GAUGAAGAACGUAGCGAAAUGCGAUAAGUAAUGUGAAUUGCAGAAUUCAGUGAAUCAUCGAAUCUUUGAACGCACAUUGCGCCCAUUAGUAUUCUAGUGGGCAUGCCUGUUCGAGCGUCAUUAAGUCCACUUAAGCCCUGCUUAGUGUUGGGAGACUGCUCCAGCGGUGCUACCCUGUAGCUACCCUGCAGCUCCUCAAAGACAGCGGCGGAGUUGUGGUAUCCUCUGAGCUUAGUAACUUGUUCUAGCUUUCGAGUACACCACUUCCCCUGCCGUAAAACCCUUAAUUUUUAAUGGUUGACCUCGGAUCAGGUAGGAAUACCCGCUGAACUUAAGCAUAUCAAUAAGAGGAGGA
Molecule: unclassified non-coding RNA, 355 nt
Filed under: soil metagenome
Description: partial contains 5.8S ribosomal RNA, internal transcribed spacer 2, and large subunit ribosomal RNA
Rfam family: 5.8S ribosomal RNA (bases 1-120)
Source: RNAcentral